RNAcentral lists this small nuclear RNA (195 nucleotides) under Dermacentor silvarum. RNAcentral describes it as "U2 spliceosomal RNA". It matches the Rfam family "U2 spliceosomal RNA". Rfam says of the family: U2 is a small nuclear RNA (snRNA) component of the spliceosome (involved in pre-mRNA splicing). Complementary binding between U2 snRNA (in an area lying towards the 5' end but 3' to hairpin I) and the branchpoint sequence (BPS) of the intron results the bulging out of an unpaired adenosine, on the BPS, which initiates a nucleophilic attack at the intronic 5' splice site, thus starting the first of two transesterification reactions that mediate splicing. Lineage: Eukaryota; Metazoa; Arthropoda; Arachnida; Ixodida; Ixodidae. The record is from RNAcentral.
ACGUCUACGAACGUAGACAUGGCCGACACGAGUUAGUGUAGUAUCGUUCUUAUCAGCUUAAUACCUGAUACGGGUUGUAUUUGUACCCAAGACCUUAAACUUAAUUUUGCAAGCUGGCGGAGUGUUUGAAGCCUGCUUCGCCUCCGCCGUGGGUCCGCCCGGUAUAGCACCAUCUCCGGUAUCAACUCACGUUUU